RNAcentral lists this ribosomal RNA (478 nucleotides) under uncultured bacterium. RNAcentral's name for it is "partial 16S ribosomal RNA". It matches the Rfam family "Bacterial small subunit ribosomal RNA", at positions 28 to 507 of the family's 1533-position model. The record is from RNAcentral.
GUUGAACGCUGGCGGCGUGCCUAACACAUGCAAGUCGAACGGAGUCCAGCCUUAGAUUCCUUCGUUGCAAAGAGGGGAAGACUGAGUGGCGGACGUGUGAGUAACACGUUGGCAACGUGGGUCAGAGAGGGGGAUAACAGACAGAAAUUGCUGCUCAUAGCGCAUAAGCACACACUGCCGCAUGGCAGUGUGUGAAAAGAGAAUCGCUAUGAGAUGGACCCGCGUCGGAUUAGCCAGUUGGCAGGGUAAGAGCCUACCAAAGCGACGAUCAGUAGACGAUUUGAGAGGAUGAACGGCCACAUUGGGACUGAGACACGGCCCAAACUCCUACGGGAGGCAGCAGUGGGGGAUAUUGCAAAAUGGGGGGAACCAUGAUGCAGCGACGCCGCGUGAGUGAAGAAGUAUUUCGGUAUGUAAAGCUAUAUCAGAAGGGAAGAUAAUGACAGUACCUGAAUAAGAAGCCCCGGCUAACUCCGUG